This 20-nucleotide microRNA is filed under the name Echinococcus multilocularis. RNAcentral describes it as "emu-miR-10-3p". Its record names the gene emu-miR-10-3p. Lineage: Eukaryota; Metazoa; Platyhelminthes; Cestoda; Cyclophyllidea; Taeniidae. The record is from miRBase by way of RNAcentral.
GCUCGUGUCUUCAAGGAAUC